This is a long non-coding RNA of Manis pentadactyla (Chinese pangolin), 1069 nucleotides long. RefSeq lists it as uncharacterized. The transcript has 5 exons. The record is from RefSeq and is a predicted model, not a curated record. NCBI's taxonomy places the organism in Eukaryota, Metazoa, Chordata, Mammalia, Pholidota, Manidae.
GGAGGGCUCGCAUUUAUUGAUCAUUGAUGACGUGCUGGAAGGUCACGGGUGUAAGCGAGGCGCUGGCUGCUGGUGGGGGUUUGGGUGACUCCUCGGGAGACCCGAAUGAGAAAAUUGAAGCCCAGAAAGUAGGUGACUGACCAUUGGUCUCAUGGCAGUGCUUAUGGUGAGCUGAUUAGACAAGAGGAUUUAAGUACCACAAAUGUCCACGGGAAACCAGUGGCAAAAACAUCCUAAUUGAUUCUCACAUAUAGUGGACUACUACAGCCCUGCAGUCCCACUGUGAGAAGAACGGGAAGGACAGUGAUGGAGGAAAAUCCUCCCAGGGGGCAGUUCACCUGGUUGCUUGUUCUGCACGGAAGGAGAGAUGGCUCUAGAGCUCAGCAGUCAUACCACUUGACCUUUAUCCUCAGAGAAACACUUGUAUAUGUGUUCAAGGAAGCAUGCCUAAGGAUGUUCACGGAGAAUUGUUUAUAAGGAGGAGGUGAGUUGAGGAUCUUCCUCCAUCACCAUCUUGAAUUGGAAUCGGGAACCAAAAACUCUCUUUUGGAAUCAGUCAUUCCCAGCCCAGUCCCCAUAUUCAGAAGUGUCAAGUCUCUGAUCACAUGCCAAAAUAAAGGUAGGUGGUUUGGGAACUUUCACAUAUUCAAUAUAUAUAAAACGUUGGGCUGUGUGGGGAAGUCCUGUGACCCCAAUCCUCUUUGUCUCCAGGUGAAACAGCAUAUUUUUUUAAUGUUCAUGUAAGUAUGUCUAUGCAUAGGAAAAGUUCUGGAGACAUACAUACAUACCUAACUAAUAAGAGUAAUCAAGUGGAGACUUUACUAUACCUGUACUAUCUUUUUGGGAAGGAGGGAAAAUGCAAAUAUAUUUUUUUAAUUAAAAAUAUUUGUAUAAUUGUGGUGAAAUAAACAUAACAUAAAUUUACUAUCUUAACCAUUUUUAAGUGUACAGUUCAUAGUAUUACAUAAUUCACAUUGUUGUAACAACCGAUCUCCAGUAAUCUUUUCAUGCAAAUCUGAAACUCUAAUAUCCUUAAAACAACAAUUCCCCCAUUCCUCCCUCCCCAUAG